This is a long non-coding RNA of Condylura cristata (star-nosed mole), 1347 nucleotides long. RefSeq lists it as uncharacterized. The record is from RefSeq and is a predicted model, not a curated record. The transcript is spliced from 8 exons. Lineage: Eukaryota; Metazoa; Chordata; Mammalia; Eulipotyphla; Talpidae.
CUCCCUCACUGCUCAAGGGUGGUUAGUGCGUUUUGCUGCGAGGGACUCAUUUUCCUGCUGUUUUCACCCAGUCUGGUUAUAUCCGCUGCCAUCGUGCUUUUUAUGAAUCGGAGCCUAACAAUGCGAAGUAAAAAGGCAAAACCAAAGUUAAAUGAGAAUCCAGCUGCGAGCUCUGAAAGUGUCAAGAGGAUGUGAUAGAAGGAAGCUCUCAACGAUGCCAGUAUUUCCAAGAAAAAUGCUUCAUUUUCUCCUUCAUCUUGUUCAAAUUCCAGCCAAGACUCAUUUCAAGUUUCUGGUCUUGUGAUGCCUCCCUUCUCUCCAUUCCAUAUUUUUUGCUGUUCGUCUCCAUCAUAUUGACUGCUCAGAAUCUUUGCAGUUUUAUAAUUUCUAAAGUAAAAGUGCACAGCAUUCUUGGCGAUGUUGGGAAAAGAUUCCUGGGUCUUGGAAGAUAACACUCAAAAUCUACAGGGCUGCCUGAGUGCCACGCAACAUAACAUCUGGCGUUCUUGAGAGGGAAUGCUCCAUGCAAGAAAGGACAAGAUGGAAGCUUGUCUUUUAAGGAAUAAAAAUUACAGGGUGCUUUUCUUUGAAAACAUCGUCAGAUUUAUCUGAUCAAGAAUUCAUACAAAAUUCAUCAAAGAUUCAUAUGAUAUGGCAUUUUGAGAAAUACUAAGCGGACAAAUUCUUAUGACUACUUAAUGUUGACAUAUGACUUGGGAAUUGGUCAACAAAGAUGACAGGUCUGCAGAAAAUCAAAAAGUACAAAACUGGACAGUGAAAUUGGAUGUGGUGAGAAGAUUUGAAAAUGGUGAACAACAAAGCAAAGCUAGGAAGAGACCUCAACCUGCAUGAAGCUAUAGUACAAACCUUAUUUUAAGUGUGGUGAAUAUAAAAAAACAAGAUAAAGUUUAAAUUGUACUAGGGACAGAAGACAGCUUAUGGUUGAAAUGGAGUAUUUACUGCACUUGGGAUUAAUCAAAAAUAAAUCUCAAUUUGACCAGCAUUCAAGUCAAAGCAUUCAAGUUAGUUGCUAUGUUGAAGGAAAAUGGUUAUACAAGGAAAGUGAAAAAGAACAUUUUACUGCUGAUAAAGGCUGCAUUCAUCACUUCAGAAGUCAGUAUGAAUUGAUUAAUGUAAAGUUUGGUGAAAUUGCAAGCUCAGAUAAGGAUGCUACAGUGAAAUUUUCACUUAGAUACAACAACUACAGGCAGUCUUACUUUUUGCAUGUAAAAAAAAUUUCCCAGGAUUUAGGUGGAUUGUAAAUCAAGUUAAAGAAGAUACAUAUAGGUGACCAUGGAAUGUUAACACUGCUGCCAUUCAAGAAGCAGUUCUAGAUAGGCAGUCAGA